CUACGGGCGGCACCAGUCGAGAAUCUUCCGCAAUGGACGAAAGUCUGACGGAGCGACGCCGCGUGAUCGAUGAAGUCUUUAGGGAUGUAAAGAUCUUUUCUGAAGGAGGAAGUUUAUUGACGUUACUUCAGGAAUAAGGGGUUGCUAAACUCGUGCCAGCAGCAGCGGUAAUACGAGUGCCCCAAGCGUUAUCCGGAAUUAUUGGGCGUAAAGGGUCUGCAGGCGGCCAUAUUAGUCUUUUGUUAAAAAUCCCGGCUCAACUGGGAAGAGGCAAAAGAAACGGUAUGGCUAGAGAGUGUGAGGGGUGUAUGGAACUCAUGGUGUAGGGGUGAAAUCCGUUGAUAUCAUGGGGAACACCGAAAGCGAAGGCAGUACACUGGCACAUUUCUGACGCUGAGGGACGAAAGCAUGGGUAGCGAAUGGGAUUAGAUACCCCAGUAGUC
RNAcentral lists this ribosomal RNA (443 nucleotides) under uncultured bacterium. RNAcentral's name for it is "partial 16S ribosomal RNA". It matches the Rfam family "Bacterial small subunit ribosomal RNA", at positions 339 to 795 of the family's 1533-position model. The record is from RNAcentral.